RNAcentral lists this ribosomal RNA (253 nucleotides) under uncultured bacterium. RNAcentral describes it as "partial 16S ribosomal RNA". It matches the Rfam family "Bacterial small subunit ribosomal RNA", at positions 524 to 776 of the family's 1533-position model. The record is from RNAcentral.
UACGAGAGGCGCAAACGUUAUUCGGAAUUACUGGGCUUAAAGAGUUCGUAGGCGGUUCGUCGCGUCUGCCGUGAAAACCCGAGGCUUAACCUCGGGCCUGCGGUGGAUACGGGCGGACUAGAGGUAGGUAGGGGAGAAUGGAAUUCCCGGUGUAGCGGUGAAAUGCGCAGAUAUCGGGAGGAACACCGGUGGCGAAGGCUGUUCUCUGGGCCUUACCUGACGCUGAGGAGCGACAGCGUGGGGAGCAAACAGG